UACGGAGGAUGCAAGCGUUAUCCGGAAUGAUUGGGCGUAAAGCGUCCGCAGGUGGCUGUGUAAGUCUGCUGUUAAAGGGUGAGGCUCAACCUCAUAAAGGCAGUGGAAACUACAUGGCUAGAGUGCGUUCGGGGCAGAGGGAAUUCCUGGUGUAGCGGUGAAAUGCGUAGAGAUCAGGAAGAACACCUGCGGCGAAGGCGGGUAGCUGGGCCAACACUGACGCUGAUGCGCGAAAGCUAGGGGAGCAAACGGG
Molecule: ribosomal RNA, 253 nt
Filed under: uncultured bacterium
Lineage: Bacteria
Description: partial 16S ribosomal RNA
Rfam family: Bacterial small subunit ribosomal RNA
Source: RNAcentral